This 776-nucleotide ribosomal RNA is filed under the name uncultured Neocallimastigales. RNAcentral describes it as "partial large subunit ribosomal RNA". It matches the Rfam family "Eukaryotic large subunit ribosomal RNA", at positions 24 to 644 of the family's 3401-position model. The record is from RNAcentral. Lineage: Eukaryota; Fungi; Neocallimastigomycota; Neocallimastigomycetes; Neocallimastigales.
UAUGUGAUCGUCUCUCGCAUAUCAAUAAGCGGAGGAAAAGAAACUAACAAGGAUUCCCCUAGUAACGGCGAGUGAAGCGGGAAGAGCUCAAAUUUGAAAUCUUAAAGGGUUUCCCUUUACGAAUUGUAGUUUAAAGAAGUGUCUUCUGUUGAGGUUUUGGUAAAAGUUCUUUGGAAUAGGACAUCAUAGGAGGGUGAGAAUCCCGUAUUUGACCUUUACUUUCAACUUUGUGAUACACUUUCAAAGAGUCGGAUUGUUUGGGAAUGCAGUCCAAAAUGGGUGGUAAAUUUUCAUCUAAAGCUAAAUAUUGGCGAGAGACCGAUAGCGAACAAGUACCGUGAGGGAAAGAUGAAAAGAACUUUGAAAAGAGAGUUAAACAGUACGUGAAAUUGUCAAAAGGGAAGCGUUUGACACCAGUGUUGUUUUUCUGAAAAUCAAUUAAAGAACUGUUUAUGCUAAGCUGUUUAGACUUUAUCAGCUAACUGUUUAGUUUUGAGCUUUUCUUUAAUGCACUUUUCAGUUAACAAGUCAACAUCAAUUUCUUUUGCUGUAAAAAAGCUUGAGGAAGGUGGCUUGAGAUUCGUCUUAAGUGUUUAUAGCCUCUUGCCUAUGCAGUCGGAGAGAUUGAGGUCUGCAGCGUAGAUCCUUCGGGGCUAAAUGCAUUUGUGCUAAGUUAUAGCAUUUUAUAGACAACUUGUUGACUAUGAUUUGUCUUGUAGCUUACUCGCUUAUGUUAUUUUACCUACGCUUAGGAUGUUGACUGAUAUGUAGUCGUA